GGCCUACGGGAGGCAGCAGUGGGGAAUAUUGCGCAAUGGGCGAAAGCCUGACCCAGCAACGCCGCGUGAAGGAAGAAGGCUUUCGGGUUGUAAACUUCUUUUCUCAGGGACGAAGAAAGUGACGGUACCUGAGGAAUAAGCCACGGCUAGCUACGUGCCAGCAGCCGCGGUAAUACGUAGGUGGCAAGCGUUAUCCGGAUUUAUUGGGUGUAAAGGGCGUGUAGGCGGGAACGCAAGUCCGAUGUGAAAACUCAGGGCUCAACCCUGAGCCUGCAUUUGAAACUGUGGUUCUUGAGUGCUGGAGG
RNAcentral lists this ribosomal RNA (305 nucleotides) under uncultured bacterium. RNAcentral's name for it is "bacterial SSU rRNA". It matches the Rfam family "Bacterial small subunit ribosomal RNA", at positions 335 to 655 of the family's 1533-position model. The record is from RNAcentral.